UGCAGGGAAAGAUGCACGUUGGCCUAAGG
This 29-nucleotide non-coding RNA is filed under the name Mus musculus (house mouse). Lineage: Eukaryota; Metazoa; Chordata; Mammalia; Rodentia; Muridae. The record is from RNAcentral.